CUUACAAACGGAUAAAAUAGCGCUAAAUUCAGUUUGAGAAUUAAAAUUACUAGUGAAACCAUUUCCAACUAGUUUGCAAUCUAGUUCUAUGGAUACAUAGUGGUAUAACCCAAAUUCCUAACCCAAUGUAGUGCUUCCUUCAAGCUUUGGCUUCAUGAAGUAGAGUGCUACCUUUCCUCCACAUGGUUUGUGCUCUAAUGAAAUUUCCACGAUCGUCUCGAAUGCACAUACCCGCUCCAUAACAAUUUAUAUCCAUCAAAACAGCGGCGUCAACAUUGCACUUGAACGUUCUUUGAUCUAGAGCUGUCCAAACAGAAUUAUUCAUUCCAAACUGUUGUAGCACCAGCAGUGUCGCGCUGCUGUCCUAGCCUUUCAGCUCCAUAAUGCGGUUGCCAAUUGCAUAAUUACCAAAAU
Molecule: long non-coding RNA, 414 nt
Filed under: Trifolium pratense (red clover)
Lineage: Eukaryota; Viridiplantae; Streptophyta; Magnoliopsida; Fabales; Fabaceae
Description: long non-coding RNA (TPRA_LNC011019)
Source: RNAcentral